This 301-nucleotide ribosomal RNA is filed under the name uncultured bacterium. Its description in RNAcentral is "partial 16S ribosomal RNA". It matches the Rfam family "Bacterial small subunit ribosomal RNA", at positions 509 to 808 of the family's 1533-position model. The record is from RNAcentral.
CAGUCGCCGCGGUAAUACGAAGGGGGCUAGCGUUGUUCGGAUUAACUGGGCGUAAAGGGUGCGUAGGCGGGGACUUAAGUCAGGGGUGAAAUCCCAAGGCUCAACCUUGGAACUGCCUUUGAUACUGGGUUUCUUGAGUCCGGGAGAGGUGAGUGGAACUGCGAGUGUAGAGGUGAAAUUCGUAGAUAUUCGCAAGAACACCAGUGGCGAAGGCGGCUCACUGGCCCGGUACUGGCGCUGAGGCACGAAAGCGUGGGGAGCAACAGGAUUAGAUACCCGAGUAGUCCCUGUCUCUUAUACA